GCUGUGUGCACGCUGCUUGGAACCAGAAGCAGCACCUUCCUGACGGCGCCUCAGCAGAUGUCUGUAGCAGCAUGUGCUACCUUCCCAAAAGUAUCUCCAGUGAAGGGCGCUUGGGCAGGCACACAAACAACCACCCAGACUAGCCAUGGACAGCAGGGAGGCUGGCAAGUGAAAGGCGGAAAGGGUCUUCUGUAUAGAGUUGCAAUGGGGUUUAUUGCAGCCACACACUGAAAGGGUCUAGGGAUAGAAGACCUAGGAUAGUGGAGGGUCUAGGUUUAAGUAUCGGGUAAGAGGGGGUAGAGUAGAGCAUUGGGGUCCAAUAAUCUGAGGGAUGAUGCAUAGGCAGGGCAAAGGGUAACAACUAAUAUAGAAUUCCAGGGUGGAUAUGCAGGGAUACAUGGACCAAUGGGGGAAAAUGGAACAGAGAACUUUCUGUAACCAAGAUAUAUAAGGGUAAAAGGGGCAGGUAAGGCCCAGUGGAGAGGACACAACUGGGGUCAAUUAACAUGGUACUGCAAAGCACUAUGGGGGAAGCCUUUUUCCCAUCAUAUGUUGUGUGCCCUUCUAGGGCACAGCUAUUGAUCUUUCCCUGGUAGGCUCAUGGUCCUCCAGAGAUGUUGUGAAACAGUGAUUUACACAACUUGCACACCUGCAGCAAGGAGAUCUGGGACUCUUGAGAUCACAAUUUAUUUAAGGAUUUUUAUCUAUUUAAGGAUAUGAAGAUUUUGUAUAUUUAAAGAUAUGAGGACUUCAGGAUUGUAUAAUUUACUGGCAUGAAUCACAAAUGCAAACAAAGACAAAUUUUUUCUGCUGUUAGUUGGUUUCCUCACUGUUCUAAAGUUGAAUUGUUUCCUUUUUGUAGAGUUAAGUUGUAAAAUUGUAACUUUUAAGUAAUAAGAGAGCGACAUGGCAUUUUGAGAAUUUGUAUCACAGGUAAUCCCAUUGGACAGUUCCCGGACAUAAAUGUUACCUCUUCAAUGAUACGUGGGAUACAGCAGUGACUGAGAUAGGCCAGGUAAUAUUCCGUUAUGCAAAGGUGCAGAUUACAACAGCCUUAAAAACUCAGGGGAGAUCCUGUGAACACUAGCUGACCUGUUUUAAGAUCAUUGUCUACUUUUUGCUAGUGUAACAUCAGAGUGUAGAAAGAAAGAGUCACAAUCAAGGCUCUAGUUUGGACAGGAAAGCACAGUUGAAGAGUAAAUGGAGAAAAAGCAAAAUGCAGGAAUGUGGCUGGCUCAACAGCACUAGCUGCAGUUAUUAAAGAGAUUAAGCUCUAAUCCUUAAGAGGAGGAAGAGAAGAGACAUCUGGAGUGGAAGAAUUUACUUUCUUCAAUCACUGGGAACUACAGACUAAUGUAAGUCUUAUAGAUCUGUUUAUCAUGUCACCUUAAACUUUUUUGGCUGUAUCUGCCAAAGGAAGAAUCUCCAGUAUUGAGGAAGUUUAACUCACCCAAUGUCUUUUACUAUCUUAAUUUUCUCUUCUUUUUAUUUCUCUUCUUAUUUUUCAAAUUCUAUAUGGGCUGUGGUUCUUGUAAUAGACAAAUGGCUGACCAAACAGUAUUGUCUGUGAAGUUAUUGUCCUGUAGAUACAGGACAAUGCAAACAAGAUGGUAUCAGUUGGCAAUAAACAAAUAAUAUUCUAACACAAAUGACAUGGAUAAUUUGAUUGCUGAAGACUAUGGACUCUUGAUGCAUUAAUUCCAAAAAUCAGCCAUGCAUUUUUAAUAACCUGCUGUUUUGGGAGGUUCAGCUAUAGAAGACCCAGACUAAAUAAUCCCAUCAGAUGCUAGGUUCAUAGUUUCCAGAUUGCCUCUGUCCAUCCAAAUGAGUUUAGUAGAAGAAUUGCAUGACAAAACUUUACUGCAUAGUUGUUUUCUCAGCUGUCCUGAUUCCUCUGGCCACAAAUGGUCUUCCUGUAGCCUUCCUGAUUGUUCAUUAUUAGGUAUUCUCCUGUAAUUGCCUCUGAUGCAGUUUUAGAUUACUAUCCAUGCUCCUGUGUACUUAGCAACUCCCAGGGCUGGACCUGGUACCCUGAACAUGUGACUCUCUUUUUAUGGUACUUUGGUGAGGAUAGAACUAUCUUCUGGUUGAUUCUCAUCUGGUAUAAUUAGGAAAGGUCUAAUCCUUGAAUUACCAGUUUAGCACUCUCUCGGGAUCUGAUUCAAGGAAGGAAUUGAAACACACAGAUGUGAAUAUCUUAGGUUAAGUGCACAGAAAAGAUUUUACAUUGAACAGAAGGAGAUGCCACCUUCUCUUCAAACAGCUCAGUUUUCAGCUACAUGUUGGCUUAUACUGGUUUUGUCUUCAUACCAGCUUGGAUGAGAGCAACACAUAGCAAAUGCCCUAAUGUACCAAUUUAUUUCAAUGCUAAUAUGAGAUGAGAAUUGUGGCAGAAAUGUCAAGUUUAGCUUCACGCUUUUCAAAUUUUUUAUUCAUAAGAAAGUAUAUAGAAAAACUGUUUCUGUAAUAAUGUUAUCACAUAUAUUUUAAAUUAUUAAAUAAUUUAAUGUAAGUUGCAAAUUAUUACAUUUACCUUUUAUUUGCAUUUUAUUUUCUUAAUAUUUUUGUAGCUCCAAAGUUGCAAGAAAAAAAAAGGUCUUAUUAAAUAGUUUAACAUUAAGAUUUCAGUAGAUACUACACCUAAUUUAUGAAAAUGACAAAAUGGAUCCAAGGUAUCUGGUGAUCACUAAGUCAUGAAAAAUUGCUUUGAAGAUUAAUGAUAUGCAGAAUGAACAAGAACAGGCAUAGCACAGAUCCCACUGACAAUCCACUUGUCACCCUUCUGAUACCUCUGUGUCCAUAUACCACUUUUCUUAGGCAGUCAGUGACAUCAUUAGGUAAAUUUAUUAUCCAAUUUAGAAUGUUAACAUCAAUAAUGCAGUGACUCUCUAAACUUUUGUAGAUUUUUAUUAUCUCAUUACUUACUUACUUUGUAACCUUUAAUGCCAGUAUUAAGGAAAAUAUUCCUCAAAUCCAGGUAGCAAUCAAUUUUUGUCUGCUUUGACUUUCACUAAAAUUUCCUUGCAUGAAGUAGGUAAAAUAUUUUCUAACAUGUGUAGCUACUAAUCAGCCCAAACACUGUACCAUUUUUUCUUACUAGAGUAAAAAAGUGUCUUGAAUUUUGUUUCACAUAUGCAGUUUUGUAAAAAUUUCUAUUUUUACAGCUUUGGUCAGACCUUGAGUUGGUAUAAGAUACUAUAGCUCACAGAAGCUCUGCAAAUUCACACUUGGUAAAAAUAUGCUUUAUUUCUUAAAUAUGGAUGAGGUUUUGAUUUAUUUCCAAGCUUACCAUUUGUAAAGAUAACAAAAACAGGAGAUAAUUUCUCUGAAGUAUCUCAAUUUUCAAAUGAACACUUAACAAAUGAAAACGGAUAUGAAAUGCAGAUCUUAACUUUCUUCAGUUUCUCAAAUCUUGCUAUAUUUAGGUUGUAAUUUUCUAUUUUCCUUUAGAAUUCUGAAAAAUAGAAUUCCUUAUUGAAACUUCUGAUUAUGAAUUUUGCAUGUUAGCUGGAUAAAUUAUCUCUGCUUCCAUAAUCUUUGCAUCCUUUGCUUUUUAUCUUGUUAAAUAUAAGGUAUUUCAAGUCUAGAAAAUGCACCAAACUCUAACUAAUCAUUCAGCAAAGGGCAGCCAAUAAAAUUUUAGUGUCAAAGUAAUAUUUAUCCUUAUUAGAGAAAAAAUCCACAUUAUAAUCUGUCUCUAACAUAGUAAGUGCUGAAUGGCUUGAAAAUAAUUUUUUUUUUCUUUAACACAAUGCAUGUUUACAAGUUCCCAAAAUGAAGUCUACAUUAAAAGAAAAGAGCUGUAGAAGUGUUUAGGGAUAUUUUUGUUAGCCAUAUUUAAAUAUUCAAAUAGCAAAGUUAAAAUUUAGCUAUAACUGUCCCAUUCUGAUUAAACUACUUGCUGUAUUUUUACAUUGUGGUCAGCAUUCCAUAUAAGAUUUUUGCAUUCAUUAAUCACAUAGAAUAGUUCUUCAGGCAAAUUGCUGCUGGGAAAUGAAAAAGAUGGAAUGGGAAAAAGAAGAGAAGCGAUGGUGAAAUGAAGUCUGCAAAUUCCUGUUUUUCUCAAUUCUGAACUCCUAAUUUCUGUAAGAAUUUUACUGAUGAGAUACAAUUUAUUUUGUUCAUCUUUCCUUGCACUCAUUAAUAGAAAGAUGUGCUGGUUUUGAGGCCAUGUAUGUAUUUGCACUCCAGAGUUUUAUUUAUUACAGUUUCUCUAAUGAGCUUUCAUUGAAAGGAGUUUCAACAUUUUCAUUAACAGUAUGUGGAAAUUCUUCAUACCACAAUUAUAUUAGGUAUUAUCAAGUUGCCUUAAACACUUGCAGCUGGCAUAAUGACUCCAUUCUUUUGCUGUUGUUUCUUGGUCUUGCUUUGCAAAUGGCACUGUAGGAUGUGUUUUGUGUUUCCAUGAGAGUUGGAGAGCUGGGUAUAGUGAGUUUUUUCACACCUGGAGAGAUAAGGACUGAAUGGUGACAUUCUGCCUAUUGAGGCAAUGACAAGAGCCUUGUUUCCAUUCUUCAAGAUAAAGAAAGUGGUGCUAUCAGAGAAAAAAAAGUGCAAUAGCAAUGCUCACUCUUUUGGGGGAAAAUCUUGGAAAGCCAAUUGUUACCAUUGGUCCUGAAGCUUAUUUUGAGUGUAUACUCAUAUAUGCCCUAUGCUGGGUUAAUUGAGAAAUGGCUCUAUCCUUCCUAAGGUUAUCAAACUAUAUCUUUCUUUCCUUUGAUUUGGAUUAGAAAUACUUUCACACAGGGCAAUCUUGGUAUCUGCAUAAUUUACUAAAAACUAAGAAGAAGAAAACAGAAACACAAGAAUUGGAGUCUGCCUGUUUUGACUAAUAAAGCCUAUAAAACUCUUCUACAGAGUGUUGAGUAACAUUGAGCUGACUUUUCUGUGAAUUUUCCUCUCUAAUAAUAUGAUUUUCCUUCCAAGCAAAACAGGGAAACGUAGAAUAAGCCAGUCUGAAAGGGAGCAUUGGACGAUACCUAAUUCCUAAUUCUCCUCCAAGUAGAAUUAGCUUCAAGGAUUGGUCAGGUUACUUAGCACAUAGUCUUAUAUGUUUUAAAGGAUCUAUGAAGAUAGCCUUUUGCGGAGGUAUGAACUUGGCCACUCACAUUGUGAAAAUGUUGUUUUUCUUCCAUCUAGUUGAAAUUUUACAUGUUCUGACUUGUUACUGAUGCCUCUCCUCCUCUCCCUGUGCAUGCCUGAGAAGCAUUUGAUGACCUUCCUUAUAACUCCCCUUAAGAAACAGAAGGCUGCAAUAAAAUUCCCCUUCAACAUCUGCUCCAGGAUGAACAGGCAGAUGUGUUUCCUCUGUGUCUCCUCAGGAAUAAUGUAGUCCAGCUCUCUAACCAUUCUACCAGCCAUCUGCUGAGCUCUCUUAUUUGUGGCAGUGGGGAAUCUACAGCACUAUGUCAAAUGUGGUCUCUCUAGUGGAUUAGAGUGGAGUAAUUACUUUUCUUAAGCUGUUAUGUGCUUUUCCUAAUGCAGGUCAGGAUGUUAUUGUAAGGCAGCACUACAAACUCACAGUGAGCCAAUAGGAUAACUGGGUUCCUUUUAAAAAAAAAAUACAACCCCAGUUAUUUGGUCCUCAGCUGUACGCAGAGUUAAAAACAAGUCAGACCAGUCAGACCUCUUUAGUUUCACUGCCAAAGAAAAGCUCUUCAAUUACCCGUUAAUGGCCGGUUGUCCAUUGUCCCCCUGAUGCUGGCCGCUUGCCAGGGAGGGACACGGGGACAGACCCUCGAGGUAUGAGGAGAAUAGGAGUGACAUCAGAGCCAGUAUGCAGAUGAGAAAUACAUUGCGCCCUGAAUUUUUACAGUUUUACAGUUUUUACAGGAAAAACCCCUAAAAUUACGAGCCAACAAGUGACCUAAGUGACGUCUAAGGAUGGGAGCGUAGUCCCGUACCUGCUUGGAUCCUUUUUUGCUUCUCACCCUAACCUGAAAAGAUGCUGAUUAAAGAGACGCCCCGGGGUGUUAAACAAACA
Molecule: long non-coding RNA, 5983 nt
Organism: Passer domesticus (house sparrow)
Lineage: Eukaryota; Metazoa; Chordata; Aves; Passeriformes; Passeridae
Exons: 4
Source: RefSeq, a predicted model, not a curated record